GAUGAACGCUGGCGGCGUGCCUAAUACAUGCAAGUCGAGCGGAAACACUUCGGGUGUCGAGCGGCGGACGGCUGAGUAGCGCGUAGGAAUGUACCCCAAAGUGAGGAAUAACUGCCCGAAAGGGUAGCUAAUGCCGCAUGUGAUCAAUAGAUUAAAGCCUUUGGCGCUUUGGGAGCAGCCUGCGUAUGAUUAGCUUGUUGGUGAGGUAAUAGCUCACCAAGGCGACGAUCAUUAGCUGGUCUGAGAGGAUGAUCAGCCAGACUGGGACUGAGACACGGCCCAGACUUCUACGGAAGGCAGCAGUAGGGAAUUUUCCACAAUGGACGAAAGUCUGAUGGAGCAACGCCGCGUGCAGGAUGAAGGCCUUCGGGUCGUAAACUGCUUUUAUGGGUGAAGAAUUUGACGGUAACCCAAGAAUAAGGGACGGCUAACUACGUGCCAGCCGCCGCCGUAACAC
RNAcentral lists this ribosomal RNA (457 nucleotides) under uncultured bacterium. RNAcentral's name for it is "bacterial SSU rRNA". It matches the Rfam family "Bacterial small subunit ribosomal RNA", at positions 28 to 526 of the family's 1533-position model. The record is from RNAcentral.